GGUUCAGGAUGAACGCUAGCGACAGGCUUAACACAUGCAAGUCGAGGGGCAGCAUAAAAGUAGCAAUACUUGGUGGCGACCGGCGCACGGGUGAGUAACGCGUAUGCAACCUACCUAUCAGAGGGGAAUAACCCGGCGAAAGUCGGACUAAUACCGCAUAAAACAGGGGCACCGCAUGGUGAUAUUUGUUAAAGAAAUUCGCUGAUAGAUGGGCAUGCGUUCCAUUAGGUAGUUGGUGAGGUAACGGCUCACCAAGCCGACGAUGGAUAGGGGAACUGAGAGGUUGGUCCCCCACACUGGUACUGAGACACGGACCAGACUCCUACGGGAGGCAGCAGUGAGGAAUAUUGGUCAAUGGGCGGGAGCCUGAACCAGCCAAGUCGCGUGAAGGAAGAAGGAUCUAUGGUUCGUAAACUUCUUUUGCAGGGGAAUAAAGUGCAGGACGUGUCCUGUUUUGUAUGUACCCUGAGAAUAAGGAUCGGCUAACUCCGUGCCAGCCGCGGC
This 504-nucleotide ribosomal RNA is filed under the name uncultured bacterium. RNAcentral describes it as "bacterial SSU rRNA". It matches the Rfam family "Bacterial small subunit ribosomal RNA", at positions 21 to 518 of the family's 1533-position model. The record is from RNAcentral.